This 88-nucleotide small nuclear RNA is filed under the name Dasypus novemcinctus (nine-banded armadillo). The record is from RNAcentral. Lineage: Eukaryota; Metazoa; Chordata; Mammalia; Cingulata; Dasypodidae.
GUGCUCGCUUUAGAGCACACAUACUAAAAUAUUAGUAUGACCCCUCUGCAAGGAUGACAUGCAUAUUCCUGAAGCGUUCCGUAUUUAU